CCUGGUGGUCAGUGUGAAACUAAGGGCUGCUGGCAACAGGGCCCUUCCCCUUCCUCCACCACUCCGCUCCCUCGGGGUGGCGGGGGAGGCCACAGCUCUGCUCUGCUCUGCUCCUCACCCCUCCUGUCCCUCAACUGCCACCUUCCAUGCUUUUGCAGACCCUUUCAGUUCAUCCACCUGCCACAGUCAAGAGCUGAAAAAUCCAGGAGCCAAGCUUCUGAUUCCUGCUCUGUUGUCAAAUGCUGGGCGGCACUGGCAGAGUGACUUCUAGGUGACACCACAGCUUCUUUGUUUAUGACCCUCCUUUAGGAGUCGUAAGGGGAUAAUAGAGCGAAUGGGAAAGGAUUGUGAAAGCACCAAGGGGCUAAGACACUUUGGACCCUAAGUUUACUGAACACUGAACUCCCCAGUUUCCUUUAAGGGUAGAAGCUCCCAUCUUGCCCCCAGUGCCGCCUGUCUGGGGCAAUGUGGCCUGGCAGUGUGCCUGGACACCUCCAGCUGUCUUGCCCCAGGUCAGAAAGGGAGGCCUCGCAAAGGUAGGUGGGUUUGCCAACAUUUUCUAGACAAUUGAUCUGACCAUGGUCUAAGGCAGGGUCCUAGAGUUAGAGGUUAAGAAGUUUUAUUCCUAAAGCAGCAGCUCUAGGCUUUUAUAUGUAGAAUCAUCUAGGUGAAUUUUUAAGGAGCCACUGAAUAUGUAUGAGAAGACAGGGAGAGAAUGUGAACAUGGAGGAGAACUGCAGAGAAGCCAAAGGGAGAAUGAUGCAUGAGGACAAAGGAGGACAGGAGACCUCAGGGACUAUGGCAUGACCGUGGUUGGACAGAGACAGGGAGACGGGACCGGGAGCAAGGAGGAGCAAGAAGAAGAUUCUGGGAGAGAAAUAAAGAGGCCGAGAGGAGCUGAGCCAGGCAGCCGGUGGAGCAGGCAGAUGGAACAACAGAGACAGAGAACAGAGCCACGGAGUGGGCACACAGCGAGGCCUGGCAGCCAAGCCCUGCGGAUUCCGUGGGAGCAGAUGCUUCCACGGGAGCAGCAGCUGAUGGCCCCGAGCACGUGCAUCCUUGUUGACUCCAGGCCCAGCACAGGCUCCUCGGCAGCCAGCCUCAGGCUGGAGGAACAAGCGGGGCCAGAGAGGCAGACACAUGACAGCCCUGCCCCUUGGGAGCCCCCUUUCUCCCUUCCAUCCUCAUCCGGGCUCCGCCCACCUGCUCUGUCUGCAUCCCGAGGCCUCGUGAAUCCCAGGGAAGCCAUGAGCUGCUACAUCACGCCGGAAGGAAGCAGGCUGCGUUGGAGGGGGACUCUCAGAGGGCCUUCCUACCUACGACAGGCGCCGGCAGUGCCGGCAAAGCCUGUGCCACCUUGCAGCACCUCCAUCUUCAUCCACUCCCCUUCCAAUUCCGCAGAGGACCCAGGAGAAACCUCAGCUCUGAGCAGAUCAAUUAUUGCUAAUAAAAUUUAAAUUCUGGCCUGGAGAUGCUAAGGAUGCCCAGGGAAAGCGGAAGAAAAAGGUGGCAUGGAUUCCAAAGGACGGACUUGGAGUCAGCAGACACUCACUGGGAGCCUGAAGUGUCCAGCCCCACCCCAACGCCCCCAUGUCUGAAACCCAGUCCUAGCACCAAACCCUGAGCCCACUCCAUUUGUGUAAAAACCAUGGCUGGCAGAAAGGCUUAAAAACUGGGGGGACACGAGGCACUGCCCAGUCCAGUCCCCUGAGAGCAGUGCAGGGCAGCAGCCCACCAGCCCGCAGAGCAGAUAGACCACCUUCUCUCCCUUUCGCUAUCCUCCAAGCAGGUGCCCCAACCAGAGCACUGGUGGGGACAGGUCUCCUCUGAGCAGGGUGGCCCUGGCUCUCUUUAGCACCCCUUCCCAGACGUGUGCCAUGAGUCCCAAGGAACAGAGAUCUCUUACACACCCACACUAGGCCGUGCAGCCUGGGGAGGCCGUCCACGGUUGCACAGAAGACCCCACUUCUCCUCUGUCUCCGGGUGUUCUGGCUGUGCGGAGCCCUCCCUCCUUGAACUGAGAUUUAUACGGCUGCAACCUCUGCCAGAGCAAAGGCAGCCUAGCUUCAAUCACAGAACAGGAUGUUAGAUCCUGAAGCCCAGUUGCAGCCUCUGCAGCCUGGCCCAGCCAUCAGCCUCAGCCGCAGUGCGAAGAGUGAGUCAGAGGUCUGGGAGGGCAGGAGCGCAGCCAGGGUGGCACCCCACCUGCUGUGAGAGCAGCAGCACCCCAGGUUGCGCUCUCUCCCCCUUGCCCCACAGUAGAGGAUGCACUCGCACCUGUGUAGCAGCGAGGCAGAGACUCAGGCCACGCGGGGUUGAGGGACCUCAGCUCUCCUCCAGGGUCUCAGCCGCCCCACUUGCUUCCCAAACAAGAAAGCUGAGACCCCUAAGAAAGGGACUUGCCCAAGGUCACAGAGCUCAUUUGAGGACACAUCAAGAUUAUAACUGGUUAGGAGUUUUGCAAAUGGGUUUUUCUACAGUUGGUAGAAAAUGUCUAAGACAUUUUUCAGAAGGCUUGAUAGUGGCCAGCUCCCUCUAAUCCACACUGGUAGAACACUGUGAUUAAAAUUCAGCUGCAUAGCUCCUGCCGGGAAAUGCAGUGAUAUUUUCAUCAUUGAAGGCCUAAGCAACUGCUUCCCAUUCUUAAAACAGGGGUGCUGAACCCAAAGUCCAUACAUGAGCUUCCUGGUGCUCAUCGCCCCUCAAAUUGUGGGCAGGUUUUUGAGUGUCUGUGUUCCGCACAUUUUUCUGAAGAAGGGUUCACAGCUUUAACUGAUCUGCAAAGAGAUGCACAACACGGAAGAGGUUGAAAAAUCAUUGCCUUAAAGCAUCAGGAAUCUAGGCUCCGGAGAAAUCAGAUUUUGAUAAUCAGCUGCUAGGCACCUUAUCAGCAUUCAGAGACAAAAAGGGUUGGAUUAUUUUUUCCUAGAUGUAUGAGUAUAUAUUUUGCAAUAUGAAAGAGCAUCUAUGUUCUAGAAUGCAAGUCUCUUGAGGGAAGAUUUCUUGUCUUUGUCUUUGCCUCUCUAAGGUAUCCUGGGGGCCUAGAUCAGUGCCUGGCUAUAGUAGGUGCAAACAUAAACUUGAUUAGUUUACAAUCUACAGGUGCUUCUCUUCCCAUGUGCACUCCUACUUGGUCUCCAACAACCACAGAAUUAUUGUCGAUUAGGGGAGCCCUGAUGCAAGAACUGUAAGAAUUAUUGCAUAAUUCAUUGUUGAGCUUCAGGACCUUUUUUGUCUACUGUUCAAGAGUGACCACCCUGGGAACAUCAAGGAGGUCCAGCCAAACCCUGGGUCCAGGUCUGAUGCAGUUCGUGCCAUGCACCCGACUGCCUAGCACCUGCUUGCUGGGAGCUUGCUGCUUUAGGCACAGCCGACCAAAGCACAGCCUACGUGCUCACUGCCUUGUGAUCAGAGUGCUCUGCAAACAGAGCCGGACUGGAAAAUCCACUGUCUUAGAGCCUGCAACUCGGAGUGUGAGUUCCCAGGGGGAAUAGGGAAGAAUUCCAAAUCCGACAAGGACCAGGCAGGACCCAGCCUCAGGACAGGCUCCGGCCCCUCCACCUCGCCUCACCUUGCUAUAGAGUCUGUUUGAUCAUCCCCUCCUUGUCCUACUUUGCAGCCUCCACAGCUCAGCUGCUAAACCCCCUGCGGAUUAGGAAGCUGGGGGCACAGAGGAGCGGGAGGGCAGCUCCUCUUGGGACAGAAAGGGCUGCUUUCUGGGGAGGGAAGCGAGGAAGUUGGGGCUCUCAGGGCACUGGCCAGGACAGCCUUCCUGCCCCUCGGCUUUGCUGUUCGCUGGAACCUCCCCCGUGGAGAGACGAGCUCUGAGAGGCGGUUGUACAGCUGCUGCUUCUGUCUGAGGCUAAAAAUAGCCUCCUCUCUGCCCAUGUCCAGCGCAGGCUGGGCCAGAGCUCUGAAGAGGACUCACAGGCGGAGGGGGACAGAAAGUGGGGCCAGAGACAAGAGCCCCCAGAUGGGCAAAGGCCAGGCGAGACAGGAGCAGGGAGGGCACGGGCUUGGGCUGCAUCUCAGCUCUGGUCUCUUUUCUGUCCCAGAAACUCCCUUGGGAAGGGGACAGGGUCUCUCCUCCCUGUGUUCUGAGGGGAAGCAGGCGUGGAGAGGGUGGCGGGCUGGCCUGGGUCCCUGCUGACACCACACUGUGGGCCGAUUACCAGCCACCGGACACCGUUCCAGCCGUGGGUGUAAAAGGAGCCUACGAUGUAGGUGUCGUUGCUGUUAUCACUCCCUUGACAGCUGAGGAAAUGAAGGCCCAGAGACGUCAGCUCACAGGGCCAAGAAGCCGGGGCAGGAUUCUACCUGGGGCGGCCUGAGUGCAGAGCCCACACCUGACACAGCCACAGCCUCGGCCCAGCCCAGACAACAGGGCACAGAGCGGCUGAGGAAGAGGAAAUAGGAUUCCAGGGUUGCCGUGCAGGAGGGCAGCCCCAGGCAAGUGGGCGCCAUGGCCUCAGGGCUCACCUUCUGGAGAGUUCAUUAUAAUCUGGGACACAUGAUGUAUGCUGGGCCCAUGGCUCCUUCGGCCCCUCCUCGGAUUUGCUGGGGAUUUUAGAAAAUCCUCUCUAGCUGCCCCACUCCCCCUUGCAUGCCUGCACACCCCCACCUUCAGAAGAGGUGCCGGACACAGUGCCCAGCUGACUCCCCGGGCCUGGGCCCAGAGGCACAGAGGGUCGGCCACAGCCAGCCGCCCUCGCUCUCCGGAGACCACGGCAUGGGAAACGGGCAGCGGGCGCUGAGAGCCUUUGGGGUCUGAGUUAUUUAAAUGCUUAGAGUAAAGCAGAUUUGGAUUUCACAAAGACAGGAGUGAAAGGUGGAGGAUGGAGGAAAGGACUUAGAGGGAAAGAGAGAGAGAAAGGGAAGGAAGGAGAGAAGGGGGAGAAAGAGGAAGAGAGAGGAGUGGGCUUCUCAGAGCCGACUGCCAGCCUGGCCUCUCUCAUCUAGAGGAGACUAGGAGAGCAAGUGCGGUCCUGCCGAGUGAGCUGGAGCAACAAUGGAGACCGAGAACGCAGGUGGCCAGGACAGAGCCCUGGUGCCAGCAAGGGGUCAGGAACAGAGGCAGUGGGGACCAUGGUAGUCCAAGGUCACAGAAGUCACAGGUGCUCGUACAUGCUGCCGUCGUCUUGUCUCCUCUGCCAAGGCCUCUGUUGGGCUCACCUUGUUUAAGGCCAAAGCACACACCAUCCUCCCGCAGAGCCACUAAUGCAAUUAACAAAACACAUUCAUAAAUCUUGCAUGGCGUCCAGAGCACAGGGGCCAGCUCCAGAGCUGCUGUGCAGAGGCUGCCUGACCUCCCCAGCACCAGGGCCUUCCGAAGAACACAGCACAUCCCUUAGUAGGACUACAAGACCAGCCCUUUCCUGCUGAGCUCCAU
Molecule: non-coding RNA, 5389 nt
Organism: Microcebus murinus (gray mouse lemur)
Lineage: Eukaryota; Metazoa; Chordata; Mammalia; Primates; Cheirogaleidae
Source: RefSeq, a predicted model, not a curated record